CACAGCAAAUUCAUAGCAUUGGCAACAAAUUCGAUGAUGAUGUGGUUUUACAUGGCGACUUAGAUAACAUCUGUUGUCCAGAUAAAGAGGGUAGUUGUGUCUCUGAAUCUGAGGAAACACCACUAGCACGUAGUUCUACGUCCACAUCAGCACCAGCAAAGACGAAGAGAAGACUUCCUGGUAAACAAGAACAGGGAUCGUUUUAAUGCUAGGAGUGCUGCCGGUACCAAUUAUUUGCGUCGUUAACAGCAACCUCAGCUCCUGCUUAUGAAUCAAAAAUCUUCACAGACCACUUCAAAGCCAGAUACCCAAGUUAUUGUACCGAAAAAUUCUCCUCUGACUUGCAUUUAUAAUCACUGUCUUGGUUCUGUCUUACCUUUAUACAUG
Long non-coding RNA from Magallana angulata, 387 nucleotides. RefSeq lists it as uncharacterized. The record is from RefSeq and is a predicted model, not a curated record. The transcript is spliced from 3 exons. NCBI's taxonomy places the organism in Eukaryota, Metazoa, Mollusca, Bivalvia, Ostreida, Ostreidae.